CGGAGGACGGGACGACUCUCCUCGCUGUCCUGCUCGCAGCCGGGAUCCGCCGUCUCCCGCGCUCGCCUCCGCUCACCAUCGACCUGGACAACCCGCGCGCCGUGGAUGCGCUCGUCGGCUUCUUCCUUCAGAGAGUUCGGGAGGGCGCGGUGGCUGUGGCUGUGGCGGGGGAGGACGCGCCUCCGAUCCACGAGGCCGCGGUGGC
RNAcentral lists this long non-coding RNA (205 nucleotides) under Hordeum vulgare. RNAcentral describes it as "long non-coding RNA (HVUL_LNC013657)". The record is from RNAcentral. Lineage: Eukaryota; Viridiplantae; Streptophyta; Magnoliopsida; Poales; Poaceae.